AGUCCACGCGCUGUCCGCCUGCCUGCAGAAGUGGCUCUGAGAGCUGUUUGAGGAGAAAAUGGGGGACUUUGGGCUUCAGCCCGAGGAGAACACGGUGGAGAUGGAGGAGCCCCUGGGGGUCCGCAGGUUAACUGAAAACAUGGGAGGACACAAGCGUGGGACCAAGUCUGUCACUAACCUGUAAAGAACUCUGACCAAGCUGACUGGGCACUCUGUCUGCGCGCCUUUCUUUGCCACCACGUGUGCGGGAAUGCCUGGGGCACGACUGGGCCAUCUCAGUGUUCUUGUUUCUAGCCAUUCCGAGGUUACCCCUCAGCAAAACGCCAGAGGCCGGCAGACACAGUGGAGCAUCCUGCAGUAGGGAUCCGAAGCCGUGGAAUCUCCAAAGGGCCACGACUGCUUCCCAGAAGCUCUAGCCCGUUGCCCGGAAAGCCCAGGUGGUCUUUGGCAAGACAGCUCUGGGGCACCUUCCUGUCCUUCUGCUUUUUCCUUGGCCGCCUUAGGGGGCGCGCCUCGCCAUGGGUCUCCCUGCGGGCGGCGCGGUGGUGCUCCUGGAUGUCACCUCCAGGCGCUUUUGAGACUGCGACCGGCACCGGGCGCCCAGCACCUGCGGAUUGGCCUCCCCACGCCUGGCUCAAGGACCUCCAGCACUCCGCAGUGCGGGCUGCAGGCGACCUCAACGUGGAGCUGCUGCCAGCGCCACAGGCCCCAGGGAAGCCCAGGAUCUGCUUCCCAGGCCCAAGAAGGGCAGUUUCGGAAAGUCUUUGGCGUGAUGGAAGGCGGCGCCCAUCUGGGGCGGGGCUGAGAACUAGGCUGGCGCCGCUGCCUGGUAAGCGGGGACCAAGAGGCCCACGGCCUCCAUCAGGAACCAGGUGCUUGUCCAAAUCCCGGACUUCAAGGAGCAGCAAUGGUGUCAAGCUGGCUGACACCAGGAACACCCAGAAGUCCCCGCUCCUGUCCUUCCGCACUCAGGAGUGGGGAUGGCCACAGGGACACCAUCCGCCCACAAACCACUGGCCUUUGCUGCCAUGGUGCGCGGAGAUGCGGUUCCCGAGGCCACUUUUGGCCAGGACGCCGGGAUCUUAUCAGCGGCAGCA
Molecule: long non-coding RNA, 1097 nt
Filed under: Homo sapiens (human)
Lineage: Eukaryota; Metazoa; Chordata; Mammalia; Primates; Hominidae
Description: non-protein coding lnc-CCT8L2-27:1
Source: RNAcentral